Molecule: ribosomal RNA, 292 nt
Filed under: uncultured bacterium
Lineage: Bacteria
Description: partial 16S ribosomal RNA
Rfam family: Bacterial small subunit ribosomal RNA
Source: RNAcentral
GUGCCAGCCGCCGCGGUAAUACGGAGGGUGCAAGCGUUGUUCGGAAUCACUGGGCGUAAAGCGCGUGUAGGCGGCUAUCUAAGUCUGAUGUGAAAGCCCUGGGCUCAACUCAGGAAGUGCAUUGGAUACUGGAUAGCUGGAGUACCGGAGAGGAGGGUGGAAUUCCUGGUGUAGCGGUGAAAUGCGUAGAUAUCAGGAGGAACACCGGUGGCGAAGGCGUCCCUCUGGCCGGAUACUGACGCUGAGACGCGAAAGCGUGGGGAGCAAACAGGAUUAGAUACCCCAGUAGUCC